UAUCGUCUCGUCUAUUUUAAAUUAUAUUGCCAUUUCUUACAAAUAAUUUAUAAAUAAAUAAAUAAAUAGGAGAUCUAGUAAAUAUUUUUUCUAUUAUUAUAGUUUAUCUAUAAUUAUCGGUAUUUUUAAAGAAAACGUAAGAAUAGGAAACUGGGUGCUUGUCGAAGCGACAGUCCUGCUGUCGGGAGCAACGCGCCCUAUUACAUUCAAAGCUAAAAUUAUUACCCAUAUUUUAAGUGCGAAGUUGAGUUUGUUAGUGUCCUCCUUUGAAGCAUAUGUUUGGGACCUAUCAACAUUUUGCAAAAAGAUAGUUUACAGGCCGAAAACAAGAAACGAAUGAUGUACUUAUAAAUAACAAAUGAAACUUAAAAAUUAUAAAAUUACAAAUUUAUGAUAACCAGCAUCAGUACGGUAUAAAAAUUUCUUUUAAAAAAUAUCCGCGUCGUGGCAUGCCCGGAUCCUGUGGAACUGCCGAAGCGACCCACUAAAUGUCUAUUCUGCACUUUUCGCCCAAAUGAUCAAAUUACGCUCGAAAUGCUGGGGGGCGACUGCGGUCUGCACUGCGAUCAGUCACGUGGCCACCAAGAGGAUGUUCGGCCGACGAAAAACAUCGACGAAAACGAUUUCGUCGGCCAACUCGGAUGACAGCUUAUCAAGAAGGCCAGGCCUUGCCACUGUGGUUCCGGAAUACCUCCCAGAACCAGAACCAGUCUGCUAGGUGCUCGCGAUGUACCGCCAACCGAUCACUCUUUAGCAUCAACUCUGCAACGCCCUAGAGGGCGUUAGCUCAUCUCUUAGGCUCCAACGCCUACUUCUGUGAGAGGUAAACUCGCAGAAGUGGCGAUUUCCAGGAUUAUUCGCUGCCAUGUGCCGUAUCUAAGAAUUUGGACAGCGACGAGUCCGGUCCUAUUUGAGCAACGAGAAUACUAUGUCGCUUCUUCCGAGCGAUGUAAGCUGCGAACUUGUGCUCCGCCGUGUUCACAUUGGUGUACAGCAAUACACCUAGAUUGUGAGAAGGCAUUAUGAUUGUACGAUAAAUCCGAAAUAACAUAGAAUAGGUAUGUAGGAGUGAUAUACAAACCUUAAAAUAACAUCGGGCUUUUCCGGUAAAAUACAACUGGUGUCAACCUUGAAACCACAAUGGAAAAUACGAUUUUCGGAUUUGUGAACACCGUUUGGUUGGUAGCAUGAGAUCACACAAUGACACAGAGCUCGUACAGUAAGUAGUAGCACUUGCACUUUUAAUGGUUGACUGAUCGAAUCAAUGACACCUUUUCUCAAUUAUAAAUUCAAUUUUUUUUUAAAUCACUUUUUCAAUUAGUAGCAUAAAAAUAAUUUUAAAUACUGCACUGCUAUAAAUUUGUUCACAAAAUAACAUUAAUAUCUUUCAUUGUUUAAGUUUAUAUCUUUAAUUUAAUUGUAGACAAAGCGUGGGAAGCAGCAAGUGGUAACAUAACCACAUACUAACAACUCGGACGCCUGUUAUGCAUCGACUGACAUUCAGAGACACGAACAUUUACGAAUAGAAUACGAGCACUCUAAACUAUGAGCUAAUGAUAUCGCGAUCACAGCAUCGCAAGCAUACAAUUUUUGAAAUUCAGCAAAACUUGCUUUAGUUUUCUUUUAUCAAAUACAUUAUAUACAAGAGCUUGUGUUAUCAAAAAUACAUAAUCAUUUCUAAACGAAUCUCUGUAUCCAACAAUAAUUUAUGCAUCUCGUAAGAAACACAAGUUACUUAACGUUGAAAAAUAAAACCAUGUCAUAAUUUUAUGAAUGGGCCUAAAUUAUAGGUUUUGCAAUUUUCACGUUCAAUAGCCUUACAACAUACUGAAUCGUUGUUUUUAACGACAUUGAAUCGACUUUUCUAAUUUAUCUUAUCUAUUUUUGUUUUAUUAACGAAAAAAACGUUUAAAUAAACUGUAUUGAAGAAGCAUUUCACUAAGUACGAACCGCUGAGGUAAUGCGCUCUCCAAAAAUUAUUUUUUUAUAUAUAAAUAUAUGUUAUACAUAAGCUGUUUUUACUAUAAUUUUUUUAUAUUUUUAUGAAAUGAUGCCCUGGACCUUUACAAAAUUUAUGUAGGAUACAGUUACAGAUACAGACGACAUUUCUUUAAGGAAAUCCGAUCAACAAUAAGGAACCAUAAAAAAUGUAUUUUUUGUAUAUUUCGUUCAUAAUUUUUGUAAGUUAAUUAAAAUUUCAGCAAAA
Molecule: long non-coding RNA, 2206 nt
Organism: Bombyx mori (domestic silkworm)
Lineage: Eukaryota; Metazoa; Arthropoda; Insecta; Lepidoptera; Bombycidae
Exons: 2
Source: RefSeq, a predicted model, not a curated record